UAGGGAAUCUUCCGCAAUGGACGCAAGUCUGACGGAGCAACGCCGCGUGAGUGAAGAAGGAUUUCGGUUCGUAAAACUCUGUUGUUAGAGAAGAACAGCGUAUAGAGUAACUGUUAUGCGUGUGACGGUAUCUAACCAGAAAGCCACGGCUAACUACGUGCCAGCAGCCGCGGUAAUACGUAGGUGGCAAGCGUUGUCCGGAUUUAUUGGGCGUAAAGCGAGCGCAGGCGGUCAAUUAAGUCUGAUGUGAAAGCCCCCGGCUCAACCGGGGAGGGUCAUUGGAAACUGGUUGACUUGAGUGCAGAAGAGGAGAGUGGAAUUCCAUGUGUAACGGUGAAAUGCGUAGAUAUAUGGAGGAACACCAGUGGCGAAGGCGACUCUCUGGUCUGUAACUGACGCUGAGGCUCGAAAGCGUGGGUAGCAAACAGG
This 429-nucleotide ribosomal RNA is filed under the name Bacteroidota bacterium. RNAcentral's name for it is "Bacteroidetes bacterium partial 16S ribosomal RNA". It matches the Rfam family "Bacterial small subunit ribosomal RNA", at positions 355 to 776 of the family's 1533-position model. Lineage: Bacteria; Pseudomonadati; Bacteroidota. The record is from RNAcentral.